RNAcentral lists this ribosomal RNA (586 nucleotides) under uncultured bacterium. RNAcentral's name for it is "partial 16S ribosomal RNA". It matches the Rfam family "Bacterial small subunit ribosomal RNA", at positions 355 to 1375 of the family's 1533-position model. The record is from RNAcentral.
UGGGGAAUUUUGGACAAUGGGCGAAAGCCUGAUCCAGCAAUGCCGCGUGUGUGAAGAAGGCCUUCGGGUUGUAAAGCACUUUUGUCCGGAAAGAAAUCCUUGGCUCUAAUACAGUCGGGGGAUGACGGUACCGGAAGAAUAAGCGCCGGCUAACUACGUGCCAGCAGCCGCGGUAAUACGUAGGGUGCAAGCGUUAAUCGGAAUUACUGGGCGUAAAGCGUGCGCAGGCGGUUUGCUAAGACCGAUGUGAAAUCCCCGGGCUCAACCUGGGAACUGCAUUGGUGACUGGCAGGCUAGAGUAUGGCAGAGGGGGGUAGAAUUCCACGUGUAGCAGUGAAAUGCGUAGAGAUGUGGAGGAAUACCGAUGGCGAAGGCAGCCCCCUGGGCCAAAUACUGACGCUCAUGCACGAAAGCGUGGGGAGCAAACAGGAUUAGAUACCCUGGUAGUCCACGCCCUAAACGAUGUCAACUAGUUGUUGGGGAUUCAUUUCCUUAGUAACGUAGCUAACGCGUGAAGUUGACCGCCUGGGGAGUACGGUCGCAAGAUUAAAACUCAAAGGAAUUGACGGGGUCAUAGCUGUUUCCU